This 373-nucleotide ribosomal RNA is filed under the name uncultured bacterium. RNAcentral's name for it is "bacterial SSU rRNA". It matches the Rfam family "Bacterial small subunit ribosomal RNA", at positions 523 to 898 of the family's 1533-position model. The record is from RNAcentral.
AUACGGAGGAUCCAAGCGUUAUCCGGAAUCAUUGGGUUUAAAGGGUCCGUAGGCGGAUUAGUAAGUCAGUGGUGAAAGUUUGCGGCUUAACCGUAAAAUUGCCGUUGAUACUGCUAGUCUUGAAUGUUUGUGAAGUAGCUAGAAUAUGUAGUGUAGCGGUGAAAUGCUUAGAUAUUACAUGGAAUACCAAUUGCGAAGGCAGGUUACUAACAAAUGAUUGACGCUGAUGGACGAAAGCGUGGGGAGCGAACAGGAUUAGAUACCCUGGUAGUCCACGCCGUAAACGAUGGAUACUAGCUGUUCGGUAGCAAUACUGAGUGGCUAAGCGAAAGUGAUAAGUAUCCCACCUGGGGAGUACGGUCGCAAGACUGAA